AGCCGGCGCCCUCGCUGAGGGGUGAGGGCAGAAGUUGCCCCAAGGAUGAAGGAGAGUCUGUUCUGAGUGUCUUUCAAACAGUGGUUUAUAAUUUUAAGUGAAUCCUUGGAUUCGCUGCACAGACUCAAAAGAUGCAGCUCAUCCAUUUUCUAAAUGACUUAAAAAAAAUCGGCUUGGCAUCAGGGAAUGUCUUUAAUAAUCUUGUUUCCAAAAGUGAGGCUUUAUGCAAAAGCAAGCAUUUAAAUUUCUGUCAACGUGAAGUUUCCUAUGUUAAUAAUUUUGAAUAUAAUUGUUUGAAUAUAAUUGUAAUAUAAUUUACUGAAGCUUAGUUUGGGGUUUGGUUUGUUUGCUUUGCCGUUGCUGUUUUUUUUUUUUUUAAAGCUGUGGUGCCGUUUCUUGGAAAAUGUUCAGCAGUGUCCUUCUGGUACGUUAGGACUUCUUAUGUUUUUGCACCAUCUUGUGGUAAAUAUCCAUACUUACUUAGACAAAUUGCAGAAGAAGUAGAGGUAUUUCACUCUUUUUCUGGUAAUAGUGUUCCUUUUGUUCUCACAUCUUUAGAUGCAGAUGGCGUCAUACAACCGUUCAUUUGCAAAUUUUUCCUUCUUUUCUGCGAAGUAGAAGAUAAUCUUUUCUUCCACAGUCACAGAUCCCACCAUCCCACCGCUUUGUGUCUUUGGAUUUGCUAUAGGACGUAUGAAAACUAACAGCUAAACGGGACGCUACUUCUAUGCCUCCCUCCAUGGAGUUUAGGCAGGAAAGUCCUGACUGCUGUCCUUCAGGUUCUCCGUUCAUUGUCACCUUGUACCUCUGUCAGUGUGGAUCUGCAAAGAUUUGAAGGGCACAGCAGUUACCUUCUGCAGACCAGUUAAGAUCUGUGAAGGUUAAAGACUCAAGUGGAUAUUCAUAUGGAUGUUUUUUUGUGUACUUGUUGAUAAUGAAGAGGAAUUUCUUACACAAUUGAAAUAUGGCAUAUGAUGUUUUCUCAUUUAUUUUCUCAUAUAGAUGGCAUAUGUUGUAUACUUACUAGAUUUGCACAUUCCAUGCUUGUUGGAGAAGAUAAAAUGUUUUGUUAAGUUGAUGCAGGCCCCUCUUCCUGGAUAUGAUCUACAGACAGCGUAGCCCUAACUUGUCUCCCCGACCAGUAGGAUGGCUGUCUUUUGCCAAGCCAUUUCUGGAUAUGCAAGAAUAACAUAGCUGCUGUCAUGACAUGGGAUACGUUCGAAGCCUUUCGUAUGAGUAGGCUGUUGGGAAGAUCCUGCUACUUUUGAG
This 1269-nucleotide long non-coding RNA is filed under the name Struthio camelus australis. RNAcentral describes it as "lncRNA (ENSSCUG00000002590.1)". Lineage: Eukaryota; Metazoa; Chordata; Aves; Struthioniformes; Struthionidae. The record is from RNAcentral.